Lagopus muta (rock ptarmigan) is the source of this 7385-nucleotide long non-coding RNA. RefSeq lists it as uncharacterized. The record is from RefSeq and is a predicted model, not a curated record. The transcript has 3 exons. NCBI's taxonomy places the organism in Eukaryota, Metazoa, Chordata, Aves, Galliformes, Phasianidae.
ACCUGCUGAUCCUAAAUGUAUUCCCAGGCUCUCUGGAGGGGGCUAGCUCUGUGGUCCUUACUUGUUCUUGGUGUAGGUAUUUUCAGCUGGGAGUUGCUGCCUUGGAUUACCUUCAUCCUGCACGCAGGGACAGCACGGAGAAGAGCUGGGGACUGCAGGUUCUACAGCAGGGCUGGAGGAAUCAUGCUGGGGAGCCACAGCCAGGACUGCCUGAGCUGCUGAGGGAAAGCUGCUUCCAGAGCGGGGCACAGCAGGGACCAAAGGAUGCCAUUCACUGGCUGUGAACUGGGGAUGGAUCUGACUUAGCCUUAGUGGUUCUACGAUUCUGUGUUUCAUCUGGCGUUCAUGUCCCAAACCUGCUUCCAACAUGGGCAGGCCUCAAGGAGACGGACCCAUCCUGUGCACAUCCCCAGCUCUAGGAGCUGCUUCCCCUGCUGCUGCAUGGAGAGCAUCCCUGCAGGCAGCUGGGUCAGCCCAGUGCAGUGCCACCCGCAGCAGCUUCACGUCCACUGAGCCACGCUCAAAGAAAUGCAAGAGCAGAGCUGCUGCUGACAAUGAAAUGGGAGAGACAAGUAUUUAUUCUGUUUGGACCUCCUCGAGAAGCAGAUGCACGCCGGCAGAAUGCUAAGCAGAGCGGCGGUUCGGGGAGACAAAUGUCCAGGCAGCUUUUUCUGUAAUAUCCAUUUGAAAGAAGCUUAGUGCCACGAGGCUUUCAUCUCAAUAUUCCUGAGGCCGGAUUUGAAAGUGCUUAAGGUUAAAUAUUACUCACUCUUGGAAAGAACAUCUCCAUCUGUCUCAUAAGAGGGGAAAAAAAAAAAAGCUUUCAGUCUUGGAGGUACUCAGGGAAACUUACCCAUAAACACAGUCAUUAGAGAUUUCUGAGGGAAAAAAUCCUAUAGGCUCUGCCUGAGAAGUAAUUAGCCUUUCAAAUUCAGCAAUGUUUAAUCCCACAAAGCCUUAUAUACAAAAUAUAAUCCUGUUUUUCUUCAGAGCUGAGCCGGUGAGGGAGCAUGACCCUGCUGGACCAGGCUGUGAACAGCUGGGUCCCAUUGGCCACAUCUGGGUGUCCCGAGGUGUGGGGCGAGGAGGAGGCUUCCAGCAAGUCCAGCUCACCCCAAGGACCUCGAAGGAUGCUCUGGGCUUUGGGGUGAUGACCCUGUGAGGAUGCAGCUGGCAGGAGGCACUGCGGCACAUCCCUCGGUUGCUGAGAGAUGCUUCAGCUGCUAAAUGCCCAAAUCACUUUGGAAAACUGGAUUUAAGCAGCCGGUUUUGAACACUUGUGGUAACAGAGAAAUCUGAAAUAACAUUGUGUGAUUUGGGGUGAAGUGCCCUGAGGCCUGGUGAUAAUAAUUGUAGCACUCUUUAAAAAGAAAAAUGACUUUUUUUUUCCGGGCAGUCAAAGCAGCUGACAACAUCCCAGGGGACCUCCUGCCGCUUUCGAGAGGAGAAAUUGCAGCUUUUCAGAGGCUGAGAAAUGACGCCUCUUUGCAACUCACUCUGCUCCUGUGGAUCUCAGCUCCAGCACAGCAACACGGUGCUGAGGCCGUGGGCUCAGGGCUGCCACGCUGUGCCACCAGCCAGGGGACGUGUGUGUGAGCAAUGCAACAUCUGUCAGCAGAAACAUCAGCAUCCAUUCCUAACCAUGCCAUGCCAUGAUCUGGAAGAAGCUGGUGCAAAGCUCUGCUUUGGAAAGCGUUCCUUGUUCAUCCUCAUGGUAGGAAAUGAGGUGGAUCCUGCCAACUCGGUGACACGUGGCUUGUUUCCCCUCCCAGGUGUGAGGCCUCAACCAUCCCAUGGCUGCCCCGAGAGCUGCAAGGCUGGGAGAUGAGGUCUGAAAUAGCCCAGUGCAAUUGCUGACCAUUCUGUUGGGAUGAAACCAGUCUCACUAAGUAGACUGAUUUAAGUGAGCCCUCAUCUUGUGUUCCCACAGCAGUUUCCCUGCUCCCUGCUGAGCUCAGCCUCCAAUUGUGACAUGGGAUAUCAUCUUUAAACCACAUAAAACUUGAAUUUUGUGAGACAGAAACUAAAGAGAACAAUACACUGGUAGCUGGGUGUUGACUGCUGAUAGGUGCACUGAGGAGCUAAUAAGAAAAUCUGGCUUUUAAUGCACUGAUCGUAGCCAUUUGAUUACAGUAGGAAAAAAAGUCCAACAGAAAACGCUAAUAAUGUCACAAAACUUGAAGCAAAUGAAGGAAGUUCAGAAAAAUAAAAAUACCAUAAAAAUAAAGAGCACAAAAGCAAUGUCUGCUCCUAGACAAGUAUUACUAUUGGGGUUUUAAGGCUCAUCUGGACCUGGCUGUUAAGCAACACCUGCCUCUAUUGGGCUUUGUAGCUUGGGCAAAGGGCAAAUGCAACAAGGAAGGCCGGGUAUCUCAUAGCAGCAUACAAAAGUGAGCAAAUCAAUACCAAUAAACUACUUCAGAUAGUGAUUAAUUAAUAGGAAUUAAUUUUAAAAAGAAGAGGCUAUUGACGUAAAUUGACAGAGGUGCUAACCUCAGAGCAAUUCAGAGAAAAUGUCUUUAAAACAAAGUGAUUAAGUUGUAGAAAGUAAUAAAAGGGCUGCGCUGCCUCCAGGAUGAGCUCAGCCAGCCUGGGAACAAAGUCAGGAGAGCCUCUAAUUAGAUGCUGGAGCUUGAUGAGGUAAGCUGGCUGGGUUGGCACUGCCAGCCUGGAGUUCAGUUGUGUCGCUUCUGAGUUGUGUCAUGGCUGCGAGGCCAGCAAAAUUCCUGCAGGGUGCUGACAGCUGUGGAACUGGAGAUGGAAGCAAGGAUCCUAGCAAGAAAAGGUUGGUGUUUCACCUCUCUGGAGGUCUCCAGCACUGCGGUGAUGUAACUCGCUAUUAUUAGAGGCUGCAUGGAGCAGGACCACGUAGGACCAAGGUCCACGGCCGUGGUGAGGAUGAGUCAGCCUUGGUCUUUUGACUUCUUGAGCUAUGAGAGUGUGAAUUCAUGGAACGUUUCUGAAAAUGAAAGGGAGGCACCCAAUGGCCCUUUAGGGUGGCCCUUUAGCAGGCCAAAACUGCAUAUUGGAGGUCUUCAUCUCUUAUCCCCUAUCUUCUGUGGUGUUUAGAAGCACUGGAGGACCGCUUGAAGAAAGGUGACCCUAAUCCAGUGGAAUGUAUUUCCAAAUCUUCACUAAGCCCAUCUUAUGUGAUGACCCUCCAUCCAAGCAGGUCCAUCCACAAAGAAGAAGCCAUCCCUCUCCCCACAGCCUUCCUCUGCCUUCACCCUGGAGCAAAGCCACUGAUCAGAAGCUGGAGGAAAGGGUUAACUGUGGGUGUAUUGUCUGAGAUGUAGGCCGUAUCUGAUUACUCUGUGGCUAGGGAAAGCUGAUGUUGUGUGCCACGUGCAGAGCAGUUCUGAGCUGGUUUCUGCAGGUCUGCUGAGCCACCAGAGCAGCCCCAGCCUUUAUUUUCGGUUUUGCUAUCUCUGUAAUGGAGCUGUUUACUAACAGACAGUUAAAAGCUGACUUACAUAAGGCUUCAAAAAAAAAAAAAAAAAAGGAAUUCCAGAAGUUAAGCGUUUUCAGCUCGUUUUGAAAUAGCUCAGUUAAAUGGGAGUAACAGGGAGCUGAGCCCUGCUUUGCAAAACAAAUUGGAUUCAUCUGUGCAACAAUGGGAGCUCUUGCUAAAUGGCAACUUGGUGGCUUCAGAGAAAACCCUGGCUGGGAUCUCACCCUGAAAGCUUGCUCUGCUGCCCUUCUGCAGGACACAGCCCAAGCCCCAAGCAGCCAGGGGCCGCCCCAGCCUGCAGGCUGUAUCAUCCCAGUGCCAUGCUGGGUUGGUGGAGAUGUGGGAUUCAUCUUACAGUGCUGUCAAGUUGCUCCCUCUGAGCUGAAAGGCUGAAGACAGCUUUGUCUGCAAUGGCUCACAGCGCAAGUUAUUAUUGGGACUGAAGACCUAAAAUGACCUUGUAGAAAGGAAAAAAAAAAUAAAAAUUGUUGUGGGAAUUAAGGAAAGAAGGAUCCAAGGGGUCUAUUGUUAAUGGCUGGCAUCAUUAUAAAGUUCACAAUUGGUGACUUAUUUAAAGACUGCUUUUCUGUGAAUGCUUUACUCUGUGCAAAUCCAUCUCGAAGGGAAUGACAUUCUCUCAAACUCCUCUCAACAUUGACGUUUGCAGGAACCAACCGCCUCUAAGCUCUCAUUUGAGCAAUUAAGACAAUUGCAGAAAGCAGUUCCAAAUCCUGAUCGGAGUUCUCCCAUACAAACCAGCACUCCCUGGUGGGGCUGGCAGCCUGGUCUUAGGCCCGUGUUGGUAAGCAGGAGCCAAGGAAGCGCCUUCCUCUGGGCACAGCACAAACCAAACCAGUUCUUGGCUGUUCUAGCAGAGAGUGAGGACAGCAAACUGAGCACAUGGCUCUGAAAAUUGAAUGAGGUUUUUAUAUUUCUGCUUGUAUUAUUAAUCUACAAUAUGGUCUUUUAACACCGUUCACCAACAUCAUUGUGGUUUAAGCGCAAUUUAACCUGGCAUUCCUCCUGACAGCUUGAGAACAUCGUAUUUGUGCCUGGCUCCCAUCUCAGGCUCUUUUCUUGCUCUUGUUUCAACACGUUGGUGGGUGUGGACAUCCUGCAUCUCACUUGUACCAACCAGAAGCUUUUUAUUCUUGCCUGCAUGUGCUGGUGAAUAAUGGCAAGCACCAUAGUCCAGCACAGGAAGCCCUGCGAGUGCAGCCGCCUCCAAGGCAAUAAAAGAAUCACUGCAAAAAAAUGAAAAAUAACAAAACAUCAGAGCAUGGGACUGUUCCAAAUGCCAGUUCAUCUCCGUUUCAAAUAUCAGUUCCAUUCAGUUUUAAAUGUCAGGGCCCAAUUCUCCUCCAAUUCCCGUCAAAACAGAGGCAGCGCAGCCCUCCCUUCUCCAUGGGUCCUGUGGGUCCUGCCUGCUGGUAGCACCUGGAGGUGCUUGGUCUGCUCUGCCUGCAGCGCCGAGCUUCCUCCAGCCCAAGGGAAGCCCUGGCUGAACCAGCUACAAAUAAGCCAAUAUCAGCAAAGUGCAAGGGGCAUGCAAGAGCCAGCCUGCUGCCAGCAGGCACAUCGCCCUGUGCGUCCUGAUGGCCACGGCUCUUCACAUCAGCUCUGCUGAGUCCUCUCAACUCCCAGGAACAUAUGUUGAUAGCAAGCUACAUCGAGAUUUGCAGCAAAGAGAGUUUUAUAAUAAUAUUUUACUAGCUCUAGCAUGCAUGUUAUUGUACGGUUAAGAGCAAAAUAGGAAACACAUGUGUGGAUAUUAUGUACUGCAGAAGUUAAAUUCCACCAAUGACCACAGAAAUAUUUAUGUUUAUGGUUUGUAAUGAAAAACUGAAUUAUAAUUAUGGAUUUACAGAAGUUUGAGUGCAAUACCGUCACAGCAUUUGCAAAGAAAUGCUAAUUCUCAACACUAAAGCCCCCAGUCAGUGCACAUCUUGACAACACAGAGACAUCUCACUUCAUAAAGCUUAUACAGUGUGUUCAGUAUCCAUUUUUUUUUUAUGAUCUAACUCAUGCAAAAAAUUUAAUAAAGUUGUAUUUGCUUUUCCAAAGGCAUGUAAGUGCACAUAUGUGGAAGGAUCUAUGGGGAAUGCUUCAGAAAGGGGGAAAAUUCUUGAUCAUAGAGAAGAGCGAGAUGGGAGUGUGUCCACCAAGACGCCGAGGUUCUAUCCUUGGAUUGAAGGCAUCAAGGGAGAUGUCAGCACAGCGCUUCGACUUCUUGAGACAUGAUGUCUUCUGCUGAGGAACGUGGUGGCAGAGGACACAGCAGAUGGCUGCAGAGAAUGGCCCUUCCAUUCAGGAGGCCAAGGCAGGAGUGUUGGCGUGUGAGUGACGCAUCUCAUGGAUGACUCCAAGCCUCACCUCAACUGCCUCAGUGCUGUCAGAACGGAAGUUUUGCAGCAGUGCUGUUAUAAUACAAGGGACUUAUUUUUCAGAUUUUCUUUUUCCCUAAGGAUAAGGCAGCAAAACUGAGGCUUGCUAAAGUAAACUAAUGCCUGAGCUCCACUAAUGAGCAAGCAAAUACUUUUGUAUGACUGCCUCCAAUGGUGGGUGAUGACUCUUUAUUGAUUGGGUUGAGCAAGAUCGCUCUCUAAUUACGUGAGUCACCCAUGCUCUAAAAAUGGAAGAGAAAACUGGCACCAGGAGCUGCUCAGAAGGCUGUGACACAAGCUUUACAGGACUGGAGGUCAGGAUUUCCCUUUAAAUCAAUCAUCAGCACUGGGGUUACAGGGCUGGUUGAGCUCUUCCCAUUGUGUUUUGCUGAGGUCCCAUCGGCGUGGUGCUCAGCCUGGUGCAAUGGCACCCAGCACUGUGGAUGCCCAGGCAGCUCUCCGGGCUCAAAUUCUCAUUUCCAAGAUUCUGAUGGCCCAAGCACCUUCUUGAAUGGAGGGAGGUGUUUCCUACUGGCAUCAGAGAAGAGCAUUUUAAUAAUGGGAGCCUUAAAAUUGUAUAUAGGUAUGAUAGAAUAAACUGUCAUACCGUCAGUGAAGGUAACAGAUUUGUACACGUCCCUAAAACGUUUGUGCAGACUUUGGAAUUUAAGCUUAUGGCAUUACAGUAUUUACACAAUAAUUCAAUCUAAUUGUGUAGACAAGCUGUAAAACUGCUAUAUCUCUGAUGGUUUACUGUGCGGGGGGAAAAAAGGAGAUGCUGUUAAACCUUCCUCGCUGACAUCUAAUGUUUCAGAUUUUUUAAAAUAUUGUAUAAAGACUGAGAUUUAUUUCCUAAGAUGUUUCAUUAACGGUUGUGGCAGGCAGCUGGCCUGAGGUUUGACACACAAUAAAAUCCAUGUCAAGAAUAUUAAAGAUAGUGCAAAAGAUAACUAUGAAUUUACAUUCAAACAGGCUUUUGACAAAGCCAUUGCAACAGGCUCCUAAUCAGGUCUUGAGACCUAGCCUGCCCUCUCUUUAAACCCGUGAUCUUGAAAAGGAGCUUUAAAUUGGAAAUUAUUACACAUUAAAACCUCAACACGGGCCAGAUCGAAGCGGAUCGAUAUCUUGCCGAGCGCAAUAAAUCAGCCUUCUGCUCUGCGGUUACUGUUUGCUGAACAUAUUUAAAUUUUCUUGUAACAAAUUAAUUCCAACAUUUUCUCUUGAUUGAAUUAGGGCAAGUGUUGGAGCUGUCACAAGUAUUUCACUGCUUCAGGGAGACAAAUUGCUCGUCUGGACAUGGGUAACAAGCCAAAGUGUUGAGUCCCUGAUAAUCUUUCCACUAAUUCUCCAUUACAGCAAAAUGAAGCCAUAAAUCACCGUGACAGAUGAUCGAUGUAAACAUUGUUUCCGCCAUGAUUGCCAGCGCUCCCCGCGGGCUCACUGUCCGCUCUGCAUUCGCUGCGAUUGCAGCCGGGAGCCGCGCUCACACACCAAAGUCACUCCUGUCCAAGAAGUAACCAUCUCAUUUCGGGGCUCAGCCCAAGCGCCCG